Sorex araneus (European shrew) is the source of this 369-nucleotide non-coding RNA. The record is from the annotation of a RefSeq genome assembly. NCBI's taxonomy places the organism in Eukaryota, Metazoa, Chordata, Mammalia, Eulipotyphla, Soricidae.
AUGAGGGCCCCUGUGCAGCUCCUCAGCUUCCUGCUGCUCUGGUUCCCGGGUUCCAGGUGUGAUAUCCAGAUGAUCCAGCCUCCAUCCGUGUCUGCAUCUCUGGGAGACAAAGUCACCAUCACCUGCAAGGCCAGUCAGGACAUUAUGAAUGUGUUAUACUGGUAUCAGCAGAAACCAGGGAAAGCUCCCAGGCUCCUGAUCAAGUUUGCAACCAGCUUAGGACCAGACGUCCCUUCCCGGUUCAGUGGCAGUAGAUCUGAGAACGAUUACACUCUCACCAUCAGCAGCGUCAAGCCUGAGGAUGCUGCCACUUAUUACUGUCAACAGGGUAGUAGUUCCCCUCCCACAGUGAUACAAGCCAGUACAUAA